Molecule: ribosomal RNA, 422 nt
Filed under: uncultured bacterium
Lineage: Bacteria
Description: bacterial SSU rRNA
Rfam family: Bacterial small subunit ribosomal RNA
Source: RNAcentral
CACGGGUGCGUAACGCGUAUGCAACCUGCCCCCAUCAGGGGGAAGUAGCCCGCCGAAAGGCGGAUUAAUGCCCCAUAGGCCCAGGGCGCCGCAUGGCGCUAUGGGUAAAGCUCCGGCGGAUGGGGAUGGGCAUGCGUGCCAUUAGCUAGUUGGGGCGGUAACGGCGCACCAAGGCGACGAUGGCUAGGGGGUCGUGAGAGGAUGGUCCCCCACACUGGUACUGAGACACGGACCAGACUCCUACGGGAGGCAGCAGUGAGGAAUAUUGGUCAAUGGGCGGAAGCCUGAACCAGCCAUGCCGCGUGCAGGAUGACGGCCCUACGGGUUGUAAACUGCCUUUCCCCGGGAAGAAUAAGCCCCUCGUGAGGGGUGAUGCCGGUACCGGGGGAAUAAGGAUCGGCUAACUCCGUGCCAGCAGCCGC